This 486-nucleotide ribosomal RNA is filed under the name uncultured bacterium. RNAcentral describes it as "partial 16S ribosomal RNA". It matches the Rfam family "Bacterial small subunit ribosomal RNA", at positions 30 to 507 of the family's 1533-position model. The record is from RNAcentral.
CUUGCACGCUGGCGGCAUGCCUUACACAUGCAAGUCGAACGGCAGCACGGGUGCUUGCACCUGGUGGCGAGUGGCGAACGGGUGAGUAAUACAUCGGAACAUGUCCUGUAGUGGGGGAUAGCCCGGCGAAAGCCGGAUUAAUACCGCAUACGAUCUACGGAUGAAAGCGGGGGACCUUCGGGCCUCGCGCUAUAGGGUUGGCCGAUGGCUGAUUAGCUAGUUGGUGGGGUAAAGGCCUACCAAGGCGACGAUCAGUAGCUGGUCUGAGAGGACGACCAGCCACACUGGGACUGAGACACGGCCCAGACUCCUACGGGAGGCAGCAGUGGGGAAGUUUGGACAAUGGGCGAAAGCCUGAUCCAGCAAUGCCGCGUGUGUGAAGAAGGCCUUCGGGUUGUAAAGCACUUUUGUCCGGAAAGAAAUCCUUGGCCCUAAUACGGUCGGGGGAUGACGGUACCGGAAGAAUAAGCACCGGCUAACUACGUG